This 300-nucleotide ribosomal RNA is filed under the name uncultured Piscirickettsiaceae bacterium. RNAcentral's name for it is "bacterial SSU rRNA". It matches the Rfam family "Bacterial small subunit ribosomal RNA", at positions 114 to 417 of the family's 1533-position model. The record is from RNAcentral. Lineage: Bacteria; Pseudomonadati; Pseudomonadota; Gammaproteobacteria; Thiotrichales; Piscirickettsiaceae.
UGCUUGGGAAUCUGCCCAGUAGUGGGGGACAACACGGGGAAACUCGUGCUAAUACCGCAUACGUCCUACGGGAGAAAGUGGGGGAUCUUCGGACCUCACGCUAUUGGAUGAGCCCAAGUCGGAUUAGCUUGUUGGUGGGGUAAAAGCCUACCAAGGCGACGAUCCGUAGCUGGUCUGAGAGGACGAUCAGCCACACUGGGACUGAGACACGGCCCAGACUCCUACGGGAGGCAGCAGUGGGGAAUAUUGCACAAUGGGGGAAACCCUGAUGCAGCCAUGCCGCGUGUGUGAAGAAGGCCU